AUCUUUAUAGUUUAUAAUAAAAAUAUUACACUGAAAAUGUAAAGAAAUUUUUUUAAAGAUA
Molecule: transfer RNA, 61 nt
Filed under: Haemaphysalis campanulata
Lineage: Eukaryota; Metazoa; Arthropoda; Arachnida; Ixodida; Ixodidae
Description: tRNA-Phe
Source: RNAcentral